This 112-nucleotide non-coding RNA is filed under the name uncultured Anaerotignum sp. Its description in RNAcentral is "FMN riboswitch (RFN element)". It matches the Rfam family "FMN riboswitch aptamer (RFN element)". Rfam says of the family: The RFN element is a highly conserved domain that is found frequently in the 5'-untranslated regions of prokaryotic mRNAs that encode for flavin mononucleotide (FMN) biosynthesis and transport proteins. This element is a metabolite-dependent riboswitch that directly binds FMN in the absence of proteins. In Bacillus subtilis, the riboswitch most likely controls gene expression by causing premature transcription termination within the 5' untranslated region of the ribDEAHT operon and precluding access to the ribosome-binding site of ypaA mRNA. Lineage: Bacteria; Bacillati; Bacillota; Clostridia; Lachnospirales; Anaerotignaceae. The record is from RNAcentral.
UUCUUCAGGGCAGGGUGUAAUUCCCGAUCGGCAGUAAAGUCUGCGAGCGCAUACGUGCGCAGGAUGCGGCGCAAUUCCGCAACCGACAGUGAUAGUCUGGAUGGGAGAAGAA